CUCCUACGGGAGGCAGCAGUGGGGAAUCUUGCACAAUGGGGGCAACCCUGAUGCAGCGACGCCGCGUGAGCGAUGAAGCCCUUCGGGGUGUAAAGCUCUUUCGGCAGGGACGAGACAAGACGGUACCUGCAGAAGCAGCUGCGGCUAACUACGUGCCAGCAGCCGCGGUAAUACGUAGGCAGCGAGCGUUGUUCGGAAUUACUGGGCGUAAAGGGUGUGUAGGCGGUUCUCUAAGUUUGGUGUGAAAUCUCCCGGCUUAACCGGGAGGGUGCGCCGAAAACUGGGGGACUAGAGUGCGGGAAGGGAGAGUGGAAUUCCUGGUGUAGCGGUGAAAUGCGUAGAUAUCAGGAGGAACACCGGUGGUGUAGACGGCUCUCUGGACCGUAACUGACGCUGAGACACGAAAGCGUGGGUAGCAAACAGGAUUAGAUACCCUGGUAGUCCACGCCCUAAACGAUGCAUAUUUGGUGUAGGUCAUUCAGUUGAUCUGUGCCGGAGCUAACGCGUUAAAU
This 512-nucleotide ribosomal RNA is filed under the name uncultured bacterium. RNAcentral's name for it is "bacterial SSU rRNA". It matches the Rfam family "Bacterial small subunit ribosomal RNA", at positions 336 to 865 of the family's 1533-position model. The record is from RNAcentral.